AUUGAACGCUGGCGGCAGGCCUAACACAUGCAAGUCGAAUGGUAACAGGAAACAGCUUGCUGUUUCGCUGACGAGUGGCGGACGGGUGAGUAAUGUCUGGGAAACUGCCUGAUGGAGGGGGAUAACUACUGGAAACGGUAGCUAAUACCGCAUAACGUCGCAAGACCAAAGAGGGGGACCUUCGGGCCUCUUGCCAUCAGAUGUGCCCAGAUGGGAUUAGCUAGUAGGUGGGGUAACGGCUCACCUAGGCGACGAUCCCUAGCUGGUCUGAGAGGAUGACCAGCCACACUGGAACUGAGACACGGUCCAGACUCCUACGGGAGGCAGCAGUGGGGAAUAUUGCACAAUGGGCGCAAGCCUGAUGCAGCCAUGCCGCGUGUAUGAAGAAGGCCUUCGGGUUGUAAAGUACUUCAGCGGGGAGGAAGGGAGUAAAGUUAAUACCUUUGCUCAUUGACGUUACCCGCAGAAGAAGCACCGGCUAACUCCGUG
Molecule: ribosomal RNA, 489 nt
Filed under: uncultured bacterium
Lineage: Bacteria
Description: partial 16S ribosomal RNA
Rfam family: Bacterial small subunit ribosomal RNA
Source: RNAcentral